This 520-nucleotide ribosomal RNA is filed under the name uncultured Glomus. RNAcentral's name for it is "SSU rRNA". It matches the Rfam family "Eukaryotic small subunit ribosomal RNA", at positions 569 to 1090 of the family's 1831-position model. The record is from RNAcentral. Lineage: Eukaryota; Fungi; Glomeromycota; Glomeromycetes; Glomerales; Glomeraceae.
AGCAGCCGCGGUAAUUCCAGCUCCAAUAGCGUAUAUUAAAGUUGUUGCAGUUAAAAAGCUCGUAGUUGAAUUUCGGGGUCAGUAGGUUGGUCGUGCCACCGGUACGUACUGGUCUCACUGAUUCCUCCUUCCUGAAGAACCGUAAUGCCAUUAAUUUGGUGUUGCGGGGAAACAGGACUGUUACUUUGAAAAAAUUAGAGUGUUUAAAGCAGGCUAACGCUUGAAUACAUUAGCAUGGAAUAAUGAAAUAGGACGUUCGAUCUUAUUUUGUUGGUUUCUAAGAUUGACGUAAUGAUUAAUAGGGAUAGUUGGGGGCAUUAGUAUUCAAUUGUCAGAGGUGAAAUUCUUGGAUUUAUUGAAGACUAACUACUGCGAAAGCAUUUGCCAAGGAUGUUUUCAUUAAUCAAGAACGAAAGUUAGGGGAUCGAAGACGAUCAGAUACCGUCGUAGUCUUAACCAUAAACUAUGCCGACUAGGGAUCGGAUGAUGUUAAUUUUUUAAUGACUCAUUCGGCGCCUUA